AAGCCGUAACAAGGUUUCCGUAGGUGAACCUGCGGAAGGAUCAUUACACAGUAUUACCGGAGGACGGGCGAGCGGAUGCGCGCAAGCGCUCUGUUUCCCGUUCCAUCUGGUUCUACCCAUGUUUUUUGCGUACCCCUGUUUCCUCGGCAGGCUCGCCUGCCAGUAGGACACCAUAAGCUCACUGCAAUGGUAGUCAGCGUCAGAAAAUCUAUAAUUACAA
RNAcentral lists this unclassified non-coding RNA (220 nucleotides) under plant metagenome. Its description in RNAcentral is "partial contains small subunit ribosomal RNA and internal transcribed spacer 1". The stretch from base 1 to 46 matches the Rfam family "Eukaryotic small subunit ribosomal RNA", at positions 1786 to 1831 of the family's 1831-position model. The record is from RNAcentral.